Triticum aestivum (bread wheat) is the source of this 124-nucleotide non-coding RNA. The record is from Rfam. Lineage: Eukaryota; Viridiplantae; Streptophyta; Magnoliopsida; Poales; Poaceae.
AAAGUACUCCCUCCGUCCGGAAAUACUUGUCUUCAAAAUGGAGAAAAUGGAUGUAUCUAUAACUAAAAUAAGUCUAGAUACAACCAUUUCAAGGACAAGUAUUUCCGGACGGAGGGAGUAGUCA